GUUGCUUUCAUAGAUAUGGUUUGUGGACAAUUAAAGCAAAAUACAAAGAGGACUUCACAGCAACAGGAACUGCAUAUUUUGAGAUUAAAAGCCAUGGUGGAUUCUUCAAAGAAACCAAAGUAACUGAUGUCAAAUAUGUCCUCUUUCCCUACAAACUGAAUUUGGUUGCUACACCUCUUUUCCUGAAGCCCAAGAUUCCAUAUUCCAUCAAGGCGCAAGUGAAGGAUGUCUUUGACCGUUUUGUAGGAGGGAUUGCAGUAACCCUGAAAGCAAAAACAGUUAACAAAACUCAGGAGAAAACAGAUGUGGAUCUAAGGAAAAGUACAACAGAUUAUCAUAAUGGAGUAGCUUCAUUUGUGGUUAACAUUCCUACUGAU
Propithecus coquereli (Coquerel's sifaka) is the source of this 377-nucleotide long non-coding RNA. RefSeq lists it as uncharacterized. Lineage: Eukaryota; Metazoa; Chordata; Mammalia; Primates; Indriidae. The record is from RefSeq and is a predicted model, not a curated record. The transcript is spliced from 3 exons.